CUUCAGCUGCAAUCGUAGCUUCUGUUAAUAAAACAUUUGAAUUAUCAGAGGUGGCACUAAUAACUAACAAGUAAUCUCUAUAUGCUCUAUCGUAAUCAUAGCAGCAAUAAAUUUGUGUGUCUUCUGGCUGAAGGUGAGUAUCUUGUGCUUGGCUGAGGGGAAAAUCUCUUUUGUGUUCUGCCUGCAACUCUUUGUACAAAGAUUCUUUCAGGUCGCAGUGAGGGGACCAUUCAAGCACCCUGAGCCUGUUGGAGAAAAGGUAGGCUCUAAGUGGAAUCAUACAUCAAAUAUGCAAACUAAAUAUUCCAAAGAGCUUGUAUUGAGCAACAUUGGUUAUUCAAUCCCUGUUUCAGAAGAGCUGUGAACUCGAAAGCCGAAUGCAGUCACUCUGCGUGCUUCUACCUGGAGGGACUUCUCUUGUCGGGACACCACUGCAGGGGAGGCCCUUUCCUGUGCCAUCACCACACAAUAAGGUGCAUCUCAGUCACACAAGAAAUAGAAUUUUGCAAGCCUUCAGGAAACUUAACGGCAAGUGAACUUCACACUCCACAAUUCAGUGAUCUUUUUCAGUACAAUCCUUUUGGGCUGGCUUCUCCAUUUCCCCCCGCUUGAUCUCUUCACAGUUCUGUCCAAGAGCCCACCACACUCAGGGGAAGCCAGCUCUUCCUGCAGAAGUCAGACCAGCAGAAGGAACUUCCAGGCCCAUGAAUUCACACUUCAGAGGGACAAACAAAAAGAAAGGAGAAAUGGAUAUGGAAAUGACCGGCAGAAUCCGAGACCAGGGAGAAGAGUCGGUGGAAGAAGAUUGGAAGAAAUUUAAAGACUAUUUACAGAAAC
This is a non-coding RNA of Podarcis muralis (Common wall lizard), 837 nucleotides long. Lineage: Eukaryota; Metazoa; Chordata; Lepidosauria; Squamata; Lacertidae. The record is from RefSeq and is a predicted model, not a curated record.